Molecule: ribosomal RNA, 378 nt
Filed under: uncultured eukaryote
Lineage: Eukaryota
Description: partial 18S ribosomal RNA
Rfam family: Eukaryotic small subunit ribosomal RNA
Source: RNAcentral
CAAUAGCGUAUAUUAAAGUUGUUGCAGUUAAAAAGCUCGUAGUUGGAUUUCGGGACGGGCCAGUUGGUCCGCCGCAAGGUGUGUUACUGACUGGUCUGUUCUUCUUCGCAAAGACUGCGUGUGCUCUUCGUUGAGUGUGCGUAGGAUUUACGACGUUUACUUUGAAAAAAUUAGAGUGUUCAAAGCAGGCUAUCGCUUGAAUACAUGAGCAUGGAAUAAUGGAAUAGGACUUUGGUCCUAUUUUGUUGGUUUCUAGGACCGAAGUAAUGAUUAAGAGGGACAAUUGGGGGCAUCCGUAUUUCGUUGUCAGAGGUGAAAUUCUUGGAUUUACAAAAGACGAACAACUGCGAAAGCACUUGCCAAGAGUGUUUUCAUUAA